Pseudophryne corroboree (corroboree frog) is the source of this 839-nucleotide long non-coding RNA. RefSeq lists it as uncharacterized. The transcript is spliced from 2 exons. The record is from RefSeq and is a predicted model, not a curated record. NCBI's taxonomy places the organism in Eukaryota, Metazoa, Chordata, Amphibia, Anura, Myobatrachidae.
UACCCCUUGGCUAGGAUAGCACUCGGCAGAGUCACCAGCCGAGGAGAGGCACGCCAGGUGGUGUCACCUGCAGCCAGGGGGUAGAAUCAAAUAGUAGUGACAGUGCCUGGCAUGCCCCCCUGGGCAAAGCCUGGAUCGAAGGUUCGUACAGCAGACAGCAAAAUUGAGAUUGACAUUAUAUGUCACACAGUGCAUUGCCCCAAUUCACAUUAUGACAUACUGUGCCUUCUAAUUAUAUGCCACACUGCCACCCCCAUCCAGGGGCGGAUAAAGAGAGGAGAGGACCCCUCCACUAAGGCAGCAGCCCCAGCGCUGUAGACUCUGGCCUGGUGCCAGACUACUGCGCAUGUUCGUAUCACCAGGAAAAUAGCUGCCACGCCAUUUUCCCAGUGAGUUUUAUCUGCAGCACCCACCGCCACAGGACUCUGAAGUGGGUGAAACAUGAAGAGAUGGCUUCAAAUUUGACGUUACACUGUUAUUCCUACAUUUAUAGUUAGACAAUUAGUGCCACCACAGAAAGUCACCUUAAAAGAAAUGAACUAGUUCUCACAAUAUGAUGAUAACUAGUAUGAGUACUGUAUUAAAGGUAUGUCACAGGUUAUCGGGUUAGACGCAAGCUGUCAGUACUGUCGAGUAGCAGAAACCUCUAAAAGAACAGGAUUUCUUUGACUCAGAUAGACACCAAAAUGAGGUGGAAGGUCUUGCCUCUAAACUGAGCCGCAGAUAGCAUUGUUGGGUGGACCAGAAACACGACCUCACUGGAAGCUUCCUGUUAGGGAUCGUGAGAUGCUGAUCCCAUACUGAGCAGAGAAAUAAUGAAUGAAAUGUAAUGCUCUUCA